Molecule: unclassified non-coding RNA, 208 nt
Filed under: Hevea brasiliensis (rubber tree)
Lineage: Eukaryota; Viridiplantae; Streptophyta; Magnoliopsida; Malpighiales; Euphorbiaceae
Source: RNAcentral
GGUGUGGCAUGGCAAUCCACUAUCAUUCUAACUCUACUCUGCCUAAACAAAAACCUCGAAGCCUGGGGUAUAUCAGUUGCUGGAUAAUGUAAACCAAUAUAANNNNNNNNNNAAUCAGGCCUUUUGUUCUCAGCUACAACCUCACCAUGCUCAUCCUCAUGAAACUUAUAAACCAUAACCCUAUCAUACCCAGUAAGCUCCCUCACAC